AAUGCCCGCCAACGCCAGAGAUGGGCCUGACACUUAGGCAGCCUUGCAAAGUAGAGGACACACAGAAGUUCACAGAAAGGUGACUGAUACAACAACGUAGAGGACCCUGCAAUGUGGAGAGGCAUGAAACUGGAGGUCCAGUGCCGUGAGUUAACAAUCAAGACGUCCAUACAGGAGAUGCAUUGGUGGAUGGGUGAAGAGAUGAUAAAACG
Long non-coding RNA from Homo sapiens (human), 212 nucleotides. Ensembl annotates it as RBM33 divergent transcript. Its record names the gene RBM33-DT. The record is from Ensembl. Lineage: Eukaryota; Metazoa; Chordata; Mammalia; Primates; Hominidae.